GUUUGUGGGCUCCGGCGGUGAUGGAUCACUGUUUCAGUGGCAUUUAAAUCCCCGGCGCUCCUCAGUCUAGGUGACGUGCCAUCGCCCCCCCAGGCAGCCCAGGCGGCGGCAGCUGCAGCUGCGGCGGCUGCAAAGGCAGAUUCAGAGCGCUGGAACCCAGGGGCGCUGAGGCUGCCUUCUGCGCGCGCCCGACUCCGCUCGCCCCCCCCCCCACCUCCGGGAGGUGGGGGCUAGGAGGCAUCCCCCGCCCCCUCCCCACCGCGAUCAGAAAGAUGAACUGGCAAGAGGUCUGUUUUGCCUGAACCUAUCAGCUGGGAGAUUAAUCGACCACACUGAAAUAUGCCUGGAUGGGAGGAAAACUUGUGAGGGAGGGGUUAAAAUGUAGAUGUUUGAAACAAAUGUGUAUAAAUAAAGGAAUUGUUGAUAACUUAGUUAAAAACAUGGAGACUAGCAGCUAGUUAAAGAAACUCCACAUUAUUCAUUCCUAGAGCUGGGCAUUUCUGUAGGCACUUUAUGUUUCUACUUUGUAAAGCUUGAGCUUUAGCACACCAUAGGCUGCCCAAUUCUGUUUUUAUUACUAAUUUAAGCCUAUACUGGAAACCAAAAAAAAUUUUUUGAAACACUUGUCAGAAGCCCUAGCCAUUUUCUGGCCUCAUUCUUUGUUGCUAUCUGUUGAAGACUUUGAGCGUGCCACCUUAAUAAAUAUAUUAAAAUUGAAAA
Long non-coding RNA from Dipodomys spectabilis (banner-tailed kangaroo rat), 720 nucleotides. RefSeq lists it as uncharacterized. Lineage: Eukaryota; Metazoa; Chordata; Mammalia; Rodentia; Heteromyidae. The record is from RefSeq and is a predicted model, not a curated record. The transcript has 2 exons.